Molecule: ribosomal RNA, 785 nt
Filed under: uncultured Neocallimastigales
Lineage: Eukaryota; Fungi; Neocallimastigomycota; Neocallimastigomycetes; Neocallimastigales
Description: partial large subunit ribosomal RNA
Rfam family: Eukaryotic large subunit ribosomal RNA
Source: RNAcentral
AUAUCAGUCAUGCAUAGCAUAUCAAUAAGCGGAGGAAAAGAAACUAACAAGGAUUCCCCUAGUAACUGCGAGUGAAGCGGGAAGAGCUCAAAUUUGAAAUCUUAAAAGGUUUUCCUUUUACGAAUUGUAGUUUAAAGAAGUGUUUUCUGUUGAAAUUUUAGUAAAAGUUCUUUGGAAUAGGACAUCAUAGAGGGUGAGAAUCCCGUAUUUGACUAGAAUUUUUUAACUUUGUGAUACACUUUCAAAGAGUCGGAUUGUUUGGGAAUGCAGUCCAAAAUGGGUGGUAAAUUUCAUCUAAAGCUAAAUAUUGGCGAGAGACCGAUAGCGAACAAGUACCGUGAGGGAAAGAUGAAAAGAACUUUGAAAAGAGAGUUAAAUAGUACGUGAAAUUGUCAAAAGGGAAGCGUUUGGCACCAGUGUUGUUUUUCUAAAAAUCAAUUUAAAAUUUAGCUCAUGUUAAGUAUUUUAGACUUUAAUCAGGCUAUAUAAUUUAGUUUUUUGUAAUUUUUGAAUGCACUUUUUAGUUAACAAGUCAACAUCAAUUUCUUUUGUUGUAAAAAGAAUAAGAGGAAGGUGGCUUGGAUUUAGUUUCAAGUGUUUAUAGCCUUUUAUUUAUGCAAUAGGAGGGAUUGAGGUCUGCAGCAUAGAUCCUUCGGGGCUAGAUGCAUUUGUGCUAAGAAGUCCAGUAUUAUAUAAACAACUUGUUGAUUAUAGUAGUAUGUUGAUUUCUACUCGCGGAGUGUUAUUUUACCUACGCUUAGGAUGUUGAGGCAUGAGAUAUACGC